This 210-nucleotide long non-coding RNA is filed under the name Elaeis guineensis (African oil palm). RNAcentral describes it as "long non-coding RNA (EGUI_LNC054986)". Lineage: Eukaryota; Viridiplantae; Streptophyta; Magnoliopsida; Arecales; Arecaceae. The record is from RNAcentral.
AAAAUGAAAAAGUCCUUAUGCUCUUCAAGGGCAAAAUCGUAAUUUCACUAAAAUCCUGAUUUGAUAGUAUCAUUUGAUAGAACAAAUGAUUUGUAAACUAUUGGUGAAAAUUUUAUUAUUUUUGGACUUAUAUUUUUGAAGUUAUGAAGGUUUGAAUUGCAUGAGUCGACCCGUGAGUCAACUCAUGGCACUAUGAGCUGAUUGGCACGC